This 210-nucleotide unclassified non-coding RNA is filed under the name Candidatus Mycoplasma haematobovis. RNAcentral describes it as "Candidatus Mycoplasma haemobos partial 16S-23S ribosomal RNA intergenic spacer". The record is from RNAcentral. Lineage: Bacteria; Bacillati; Mycoplasmatota; Mollicutes; Mycoplasmatales; Mycoplasmataceae.
AUCUUCUGUUAUUAAUGAUAUUUUCUAUUUAGAGAAUAUUUAGGUGAGGUUUUACUUGGACACCCAUAAUAAUUAAAUAAUUAUGGAUAAUGACCAAGGCGGAUGAUUUUCAGUUUUGAGAAAGCUAUUUACUUUCUCAAGAAUGUUUUUUGAAAUGAAAAAGAUAAUAACCGAGUUAACUUAAUAAAGUUAAUCAUACGUAAAUUAAUA